UAUAUGGAUGAGGGUUGUUCUUCGCUGGAGGUGCCGGGGCGGCCUUGCUGUGUAGGGAUGGGGGUUCCUCGUAAAUGGAUGUGCCGCGUUUGGGGGUGCUAUAUUGAGGCCAAAGGGCACAUAGAGGUGCCGCGAGUGGCAUGUUGUUGCGGAUGGGGGCUGUUUCCGAUGCAGAUGGCAGUGGUACUGGGGUGCGAAUUGUUUCCGGUAUAGAUGUGGGGGGGUGUUGUUUUUAAAUGCGAUGUGGUAUUUUUAACACCUCGAGUUGGACCGACUCGCGAAUAUGUUUUGGUUAAUCAAGUCC
This 304-nucleotide long non-coding RNA is filed under the name Androctonus crassicauda. Lineage: Eukaryota; Metazoa; Arthropoda; Arachnida; Scorpiones; Buthidae. The record is from RNAcentral.